CCUACGGGAGGCUGCAGUGAGGAAUAUUGGUCAAUGGACGAGAGUCUGAACCAGCCAAGUAGCGUGAAGGAUGACUGCCCUAUGGGUUGUAAACUUCUUUUAUAUGGGAAUAAAACGUUCCACGUGUGGGAUUUUGUAUGUACCAUAUGAAUAAGGAUCGGCUAACUCCGUGCCAGCAGCCGCGGUAAUACGGAGGAUCCGAGCGUUAUCCGGAUUUAUUGGGUUUAAAGGGAGCGUAGGUGGAUUGUUAAGUCAGUUGUGAAAGUUUGCGGCUCAACCGUAAAAUUGCAGUUGAAACUGGCAGUCUUGAGUACAGUAGAGGUGGGCGGAAUUCGUGGGGUAGCGGUGAAAUGCUUAGAUAUCACGAAGAACUCCGAUUGCGAAGGCAGUUCACUGGACUGCAACUGACACUGAGGCUCGAAAGUGUGGGUAUCAAACAGGAUUAGAUACCCUGGUAGUC
This 460-nucleotide ribosomal RNA is filed under the name uncultured bacterium. RNAcentral's name for it is "partial 16S ribosomal RNA". It matches the Rfam family "Bacterial small subunit ribosomal RNA", at positions 338 to 795 of the family's 1533-position model. The record is from RNAcentral.